UCGAGGAUCUUCGGCAAUGGGCGCAAGCCUGACCGAGCGACGCCGCGUGCGCGAAGAAGGCCUUCGGGUUGUAAAGCGCUGUCGAGGGGGAGGAAAGCCCGCAAGGGUCUGACCUAUCCCUGGAGGAAGCACGGGCUAAGUUCGUGCCAGCAGCCGCGGUAAGACGAACCGUGCGAACGUUGUUCGGAAUCACUGGGCUUAAAGGGCGCGUAGGCGGCUUCUCAAGUCCGGGGUGAAAGCUUUCGGCUCAACCGGAAAAGUGCCUUGGAUACUGGGAAGCUCGAGGGAGGUAGGGGCGGCCGGAACUUCCGGUGGAGCGGUGAAAUGCGUAGAUAUCGGAAGGAACGCCGGUGGCGAAAGCGGGCCGCUGGACCUCUACUGACGCUGAGGCGCGAAAGCCAGGGGAGCGAACGGGAUUAGAUACCCCUGUAGUCC
This 435-nucleotide ribosomal RNA is filed under the name uncultured bacterium. Its description in RNAcentral is "bacterial SSU rRNA". It matches the Rfam family "Bacterial small subunit ribosomal RNA", at positions 355 to 796 of the family's 1533-position model. The record is from RNAcentral.